CAGUAGCCGCGGUAAUACAGAGGGUGCGAGCGUUAAUCGGAUUUACUGGGCGUAAAGCGUGCGUAGGCGGCUUCUUAAGUCGGAUGUGAAAUCCCUGAGCUUAACUUAGGAAUUGCAUUCGAUACUGGGAAGCUAGAGUAUGGGAGAGGAUGGUAGAAUUCCAGGUGUAGCGGUGAAAUGCGUAGAGAUCUGGAGGAAUACCGAUGGCGAAGGCAGCCAUCUGGCCUAAUACUGACGCUGAGGUACGAAAGCGUGGGGAGCAAACAGGAUUAGAGACCCCUGUAGUCCCUGUCUCUUAUAC
This 301-nucleotide ribosomal RNA is filed under the name uncultured bacterium. RNAcentral describes it as "partial 16S ribosomal RNA". It matches the Rfam family "Bacterial small subunit ribosomal RNA", at positions 509 to 807 of the family's 1533-position model. The record is from RNAcentral.